GAGCUCCUGGAACCCACUAUUUUCGCCUGCGGACAAAGUUUUCCGGCAGCCAGGAAUCAGAGACCCAACUGCGCAGGGUUAGCAAUACUCUUCCCACCACCGCCUGGGGGUGAUUACUGUGGUGGCUCCGGCAGCUCCUUGCCCCUGAGAUCACCAGUUUCCUGAAGGCAGAGACCUCAUCUAACUUUUUGGCCAUCAUUUCUGAGAGCUAAGAAGAACAUCAAGUCAGAGUUGGCGCUCAAAAUACGACCUUGCUUUCAUCCAGGCUCGGAUGGCAGAAAUUUGAAAGUGCUUUCUGGAGAAAAGCUGAGUAAUGAUUUUGCCAUGGGUGGGACUUUUAGUGUCCGUCUUCCUCGCAACUGGCCCUUCGUAUAUAUACCUCCCUGAGUAUGGCGAGCACAUCUCACUCCAGCAGCUGUUGCCAAAGCAGCCUCGCUCUCU
Molecule: non-coding RNA, 441 nt
Organism: Odocoileus virginianus texanus
Lineage: Eukaryota; Metazoa; Chordata; Mammalia; Artiodactyla; Cervidae
Source: RefSeq, a predicted model, not a curated record